Long non-coding RNA from Alosa sapidissima (American shad), 840 nucleotides. RefSeq lists it as uncharacterized. The transcript is spliced from 5 exons. The record is from RefSeq and is a predicted model, not a curated record. NCBI's taxonomy places the organism in Eukaryota, Metazoa, Chordata, Actinopteri, Clupeiformes, Clupeidae.
CCCAGGUGGACACCUGGAAACCUACCUCUGUCACUUCCCAACGCACGCCUUCCUGCUGGCCGCCGCACCAUCAAUGCUUGCCUCACUGGCCUCCAUGCUGUCUUGGUGCAUGGCUUGUUCCACCACGGUCCACUCUCAGGAACAUACACCCUGCCUCAAGUGAUGAGUCGCUGCUACACCGGUGUUGUGGGCCUAAGUCAUCUGGACGUGCAUGGUGCUCACUGCUGCUUUGCGGAGUUUUGGUCCGUGUAUUAUCCGUUGUCAAGACAUUGUUUCCUGCUUCACCGUUCGCGUGCUGUGGCACCGAAGCUAGCGGCAGUGGAGGGCGCAGACACCUGCUUUUAGUGUUGGUCUGGCGUGAUCGUGAAUGAAUGUAAUCGGGUAUUAAAGGGAGACUUGGCAGGAUUUCCCCCUCUGCUGGAGAAAUUGUGCAUUAUGCCAUUUCAAACUGUGGAAAAAGUCUCAAUGUUGCAAGGUUGGUUUUCCGCAAGGGGCAGCGGGAAAAGUCACCAUUUUCACCGGAACAGGAGCUGAGAGCCCAAGGGGAGGGUAGAAGUACCCCUGAGGUGGUGGUGUCCCAUACCUGUGUGCUGUGUUCACGUGUGCUCGUUGCAGUGGAUCUUUCUUGCAGUGUGUAGUGUGUGCAUGCACUUGUAAGUGGUUGGCUUCCUGGGAUCCCCCCCGGCCUAUGGUGAUCUGCCUCCCCCAGUAAGCCUCAGCCCUGGUAUCCUUCUAUCUGUUAGUCGUUUUGUAGUAACUAUUUGUUAAUAAAUAUACUUUUAUGGAUGGAACCACGUCUCUUGCAUUCUGAGUAGACGAACUUGUGUGCCAUUACUUAAU